This 496-nucleotide ribosomal RNA is filed under the name uncultured bacterium. RNAcentral's name for it is "partial 16S ribosomal RNA". It matches the Rfam family "Bacterial small subunit ribosomal RNA", at positions 29 to 507 of the family's 1533-position model. The record is from RNAcentral.
AUGAACGCUGGCGGCGUGCCUAAUACAUGCAAGUCGAGCGAACGGACGAGAAGCUUGCUUCUCUGAUGUUAGCGGCGGACGGGUGAGUAACACGUGGAUAACCUACCUAUAAGACUGGGAUAACUUCGGGAAACCGGAGCUAAUACCGGAUAAUCUUUUGAACCGCAUGGUUCAAAAGUGAAAGACGGUCUUGCUGUCACUUAUAGAUGGAUCCGCGCUGCAUUAGCUAGUUGGUAAGGUAACGGCUUACCAAGGCAACGAUGCAUAGCCGACCUGAGAGGGUGAUCGGCCACACUGGAACUGAGACACGGUCCAGACGCCUACGGGAGGCAGCAGUAGGGAAUCUUCCGCAAUGGGCGAAAGCCUGACGGAGCAACGCCGCGUGAGUGAUGAAGGUCUUCGGAUCGUAAAACUCUGUUAUUAGGGAAGAACAUAUGUGUAAGUAACUGUGCACAUCUUGACGGUACCUAAUCAGAAAGCCACGGCUAACUACGUG